GACGAACGCUGGCGGCGUGCUUAACACAUGCAAGUCGAACGCAAAGGCCCAACUUUUGUGGCGUGCUCGAGUGGAGAACGGGUGAGUAACACGUGAGUAACCUGUCUACGACUUUGGGAUAACUUCAGGAAACUGGGGCUAAUACCGGCUAGGAGCUACUGAUGCAUGGUGGGGGUUGGACAGCUUACGUGGCUGGGGAUGGUCUGGCGACGUAUUAGCUUGUUGGUGGGGUAGUGGCUUACCAAGGCGUCGACGGGUAGAUGGUCUGAGAGGGUGACCAGACACACUGGAACAGAGAAACGGUCCAGAGGCCUAAGGGAGGCAGCAGUGGGGAAUAUUGGACAAUGGGCGCAAGCCUGAUACAGCCAUACCGCGUGGGUGAAGAAGGCCUUCGGGUUGUAAAGCCGUUUUGUUGGGAAAGAAAAGCAGCAGGUUAAUACCCCGCUGUUCUGACGGUACCCAAAGAAUAAGCACCGGCUAACUUCGUG
Molecule: ribosomal RNA, 488 nt
Filed under: uncultured bacterium
Lineage: Bacteria
Description: partial 16S ribosomal RNA
Rfam family: Bacterial small subunit ribosomal RNA
Source: RNAcentral